RNAcentral lists this ribosomal RNA (400 nucleotides) under uncultured bacterium. RNAcentral describes it as "bacterial SSU rRNA". It matches the Rfam family "Bacterial small subunit ribosomal RNA", at positions 356 to 773 of the family's 1533-position model. The record is from RNAcentral.
GGGGAAUAUUGGACAAUGGGCGAAAGCCUGAUCCAGCAAUGCCGCGUGAGUGAUGAAGGCCUUAGGGUUGUAAAGCUCUUUUACCCGGGAUGAUAAUGACAGUACCUGGAGAAUAAGCUCCGGCUAACUCCGUGCCAGCAGCCGCGGUAAUACGGAGGGAGCUAGCGUUAUUCGGAAUUACUGGGCGUAAAGCGCACGUAGGCGGCUUUGUAAGUUAGGGGUGAAAGCCUGGAGCUCAACUCCAGAAUUGCCUUUAAGACUGCAUCGCUUGAAUCCAGGAGAGGUGAGUGGAAUUCCGAGUGUAGAGGUGAAAUUCGUAGAUAUUCGGAAGAACACCAGUGGCGAAGGCGGCUCACUGGACUGGUAUUGACGCUGAGGUGCGAAAGCGUGGGGAGCAAAC